AACAUGCAAGAAAAGGCUGGGAAGGGCACUUUCGGCGGCACCUUCGGCGGCCGAAAGUCCCUCCAGAGCCGAAAGUCAGGCAGGUUCGGCGGCACCUUCGGCGGCCGAAACUCCCAGACAGAGACGAAACUCAUGCAUGUUCGGCGGCACCUUCGGCGGCCGAAAGUCUCGGACAGAGCCGAAACUCCCACUUCGGGGGCAAGCUUCGGCAACCUAAAGCUGCCUCACAAGCCAUGUUCGGCGGCCGAAACUCCCUUCGGCUGCCGAACCUGGUUUCUGUCAAGGGCAGAAACUUGGCUCCUCUUGCCUCCAAGUUUUCCCAAACUUCCUAAUCAUGCAUAAACUCUUCUACAACACUCAUACACAAGCAUGCAAGCUCCUAGGGGCCUCAAACUAACUUAAACCCCAACUACAACACACAAACAAGCUACAUUGCUCAAGAACAUGCACAUCAUACCCAUAAACAUAACAUAAACUUCCACAAGCCUACUCAUGCAUUUCUACCCCAUAGAUCUACUCAAAACUUACUUAAAACAUGCAAGAGAGGUUGGAUCUAAGCUUACCUCUUGAAGGUCGAGAGGAAGAACGAUCCUAGCUUGGAGGUAGGGAGAAAUCCACUCUUUGAUUUCCAAGCUUCCAAACUUGCUCAAACUUCAAAACUCUUCAAAAACAAGAUGUAACUUGUUAAAAUCUGAAAGAUUUGAGGGAAAACACUUAAAAUGACCAUAGGAGGGCUAAAGCUCACCGUCGGCCGAAAUGGAAGAGAAAAUCUCGCCUCUUUCGGUCACGGGGUCCUUUAUAGGGCUGGUUCUGUCACCUUUCGGCGGCCUAACGUGCCCCCACAUCUCAUGCAUGUUCGGCGGCCGAACAUGAGGUUCGGCGGCCGAACCUUGACUCACUCAAACAAGGCUUUCGGAGGCCUAAAGCACUCCCAAAACCUUACCAUGUUCGGCGGCCGAACUUAACUUUCGGCGGCCGAACCUGGCAAAGCCUCCUUUGGUCUUUUUCAUUCAAAAACUCAAAUUUUCUUUUUACUUAGAAACAUAAAAUACCUUAAAAACAUUUCAUAAAACAUGGUUUUACCCUUCUAGAGGUUUCCGACAUUCGAGAUUCCACCGGACGGUAGGAAUUCCGAUACCGGAGUCUAGCCGGGUAUUACAAUUACCUUAUUUCUCACCAAGUGUAUUAGGAUUGAUAUUUGACUAUAGCCAAAACUCUCGUCCAAUAUUUUCGCUCCCGCCUUGUGACUUGUCCAUAGGAUACUCACCUCACGGCUACGCAAUAACUUGAAAAAGUAAUAAACCAAACUUAACACUCGAUCAUAAUAAUGACUUGAAGGAUUUUAUUAAUUGGGAUUGACACCCGAUUAUUAACCUAGUGGAUACCCACUUUGCAACGCUUUUUGGCAGUACCUGACUUAGUCUUUUGGGACUGACGCUCGAAGACUAGCCUAGCGAUUGCCCGCCUUAUGGCAUUCUUGGGCAGAAAUUUGACUUUGUCUUUUGGUCUAACGCUUGAAGAUUAGCCUUGCAGUUGCUCGCCUUAUGGAGUCCUUUGGCAGAAACUUACCUUAGCCUUUUUUAGACUAACGCCCGAAAACUCGCCUGGCAGUUAUCUGCCUUGUGGCGUUCUUUGGCAUAAACUUGCCUUUGUCUUUUGGGAUUAACACCCGAAGACUCGCCUGACAAUUAAUCGCUUGUGGCCUGACACAGGAUGCUUUAGAAAUAUUUUGUGAAGCGGGACUAACCCAGACUAACCCAGACUAUGGCCUGAUUGAUUCCUACCUUGUGGCCUAGCAUAGAGAUGCCUUUGUUUAGUGGGACUAACACCCGGUCUUUCGGCCUGACGGAUUCUGUAACGACCCAAAAAUCGGACCGCUACCGGCGCUAGGAUCCGGAUCGGCUUAAGGCCGCCGGGACCCGUAGCAAGCCUGACGUCUAACCUGUAAACCUGUAUAAUCCCAUACAUGAUCAACAACAUACAUAAAAAUUUAAAACUUUUCUUUCCAUAUACAUCAACCAAACUCAACCUGAGCAUAAACAUAAUCAUAACAUUGAUCCCUCUGUGGGAUCUCAUCAGUGUCCCCAAUGGGUGACAUAACAUAUGCUGAGUUGGUUACAUAAAUAUCAUAAAAAUCUCUAAGAUCAUGUAUUAAAGGGAUAACAACAUUCUAUGGUCAAGCACACUUCUAAUCAUCCAAAACAUCAUCUCAUUACAUAUCUAUACUGAUUAAGACAUUACAUUAUAAUUUGAUCAUGUCCAUUGCUAACUAUUACAUAAGCAUAACUUCUUUACUCUAUCCGGACUCCCGCACUAUACUGUACCUGCAAGCCUGGGGGUAAAGGGAGAGGGGUGAGCUAAAAGCCCAGUGAGAAGAACUAUAAAACAUUUUAAUACUAUGCUCCAAUGAAAUGCAUCAUAACACAGACAAUUCACAUAAGGGUUGGGUGAACUUGUCACCAAUUAGUCCAAGCUAACUCUGUGCCAGGCCGUAGCAUGGGGUCCUGGUCUUCCUGUCAUACAUACAUUACUUACCAUUGCCCCAAGGCCUCAUCUAGGCUCCUGGUCUUCGAGUCCCAUAACCGUGCCAGGCCGUAGAAUGGGGUCCUGGUCUUUCCUUACUCUGUGCCAGGCCGUAGAAUGGGGUCCUAGUCUUCCGGUCAUGGACUAAUUGGGUCAUCCAACAUUCACCCACAUCAAUAACAAUCGAUGCAAUGCGGCAUAUUCAUGAAACUAAUGCAAUCAUCCUAUUGCAUAAUCAUGAUGCAUGGAACAUGAUAAAACAUUUAAUUUAAAAGAUUAAGUUUAGUUCCACUCACCUCUGGCUGACUCUGACAACACCGAAGCAGCUGAACUCACUGCUGGGGUCCUCAGUUCCUCGGGUCCGAACCUACACAGGUGGACUCAAAUGAGGGACCAAACAUACUAGAACAUAUCUCUAAACUACUCCCCAAAAACCCCCUAAAACAACAUGAAACAACCAUAGAAAAACAUGCAAAGGAGGCCUGGACAGGGCACUUUCGACGGCAGGUUCGGCGGCCGAAAGUCCCUCCAGAGCCGAAAGUCAGGCAGGUUCGGCGGCACCUUCGGCGGCCGAAACUCCCAGAUAGAGACGAAACUCAUGCAUGUUCGGCGGCACCUUCGGCGGCCGAAACUGCCAGACAGAGACGAAAGUCUCCUUUCGGGGGCAAGCUUCGGCAGCUGAAAGGCUGCCUCCCCAGCCAUGUUCGGCGGCCGAAAGUUCCUUCGGCUGCCGAACCUGGUUUCUGCCAAAGGGCAGAAACUUGGCUCCCAAUGCACAUUUCGCCUCCAAACUUAUCAAACAUGCAUCAAACCUAUUCUACAACACACAAACGCAAGCAUACAUGUUCCUAGGAGUCUCAAACCAUCAUAAACCCCAUCUACAACACAUCAAGCAUCCACAUUGUUCAAGAACACACAUUUAUACCCAUAAACAUAACCAUAACCU
This 3469-nucleotide long non-coding RNA is filed under the name Manihot esculenta (cassava). RNAcentral's name for it is "long non-coding RNA (MESC_LNC008085)". The record is from RNAcentral. Lineage: Eukaryota; Viridiplantae; Streptophyta; Magnoliopsida; Malpighiales; Euphorbiaceae.